UACGUAGGGGGCAAGCGUUGUCCGGAUUUAUUGGGCGUAAAGAGCGUGUAGGCGGCCUGAAAGGUCAGCUGUGAAAACUCGAGGCUCAACCUCGAGACGUCGGUUGAAACCAUCUGGCUAGAGUCCGGAAGAGGAGUGUGGAAUUCCCGGUGUAGCGGUGAAAUGCGCAGAUAUCGGGAAGAACACCAGUGGCGAAGGCGGCCCGCUGGGCAGUGGCUGACGCUGAGGCGCGACAGCGUGGGGAGCAAACAGG
RNAcentral lists this ribosomal RNA (253 nucleotides) under uncultured bacterium. Its description in RNAcentral is "partial 16S ribosomal RNA". It matches the Rfam family "Bacterial small subunit ribosomal RNA", at positions 524 to 776 of the family's 1533-position model. The record is from RNAcentral.